GUGUGUAUAUCUCAGUGGUAGAGUCCAUGCUUAGCAUGCAUGAGGUCCUGGGUUCAAUCCCCAGUACCUCCA
Molecule: transfer RNA, 72 nt
Filed under: Camelus bactrianus (Bactrian camel)
Lineage: Eukaryota; Metazoa; Chordata; Mammalia; Artiodactyla; Camelidae
Also listed under: 1 other name
Rfam family: tRNA
About the family: Transfer RNA (tRNA) molecules are approximately 80 nucleotides in length. Their secondary structure includes four short double-helical elements and three loops (D, anti-codon, and T loops).
Source: Rfam by way of RNAcentral